Molecule: long non-coding RNA, 271 nt
Organism: Tupaia belangeri chinensis (Chinese tree shrew)
Lineage: Eukaryota; Metazoa; Chordata; Mammalia; Scandentia; Tupaiidae
Exons: 3
Source: RefSeq, a predicted model, not a curated record
CCAGAAAGGGCUGGGCAACCCAGGAAGAUUGCGAGAGAGGAAGCCCUGGAGCUGGACCCAGACAGGGCCGUCUUUGCUCAGUUUGAAAGAUAAGUUACGUACACAUCUGAACUCUGGGGCACAUAGGAAUAACCCUGGCAACAUGACGGGUGUUGCUGAAGGUGCCAGUUGCUGGAGAUCCCCGCGCCAAGCCCUCGAAGCAGCCCCGACUUUCCAUGCAAUAAAGCAGCAGUGAGAAAGGCUCAGAGUAAUUAAGUGGCUGACGCACAGA